RNA transcript from Lycium ferocissimum, 3845 nucleotides. It is a transcript of the gene named WPP domain-associated protein-like, with no coding region annotated. The record is from RefSeq and is a predicted model, not a curated record. The transcript has 7 exons. Lineage: Eukaryota; Viridiplantae; Streptophyta; Magnoliopsida; Solanales; Solanaceae.
CUUCCAACUUCACCCGCUUUCUGAGGGGAAAAAACCCUUAAUCAACGCUCUAACAGCGACUCAAAGCGAUGGUGAUUCUGCAAAUAACGUUUCUUUCAAGUCUCAUUUCUUUUCUAUUUGUACUGCUAAUCUUCCUCAAAACCCUAAAAUAAAGGCUGACACUCCAAUGAGUGCUACUUAAAAGCUAAACACAGUUGGCAUAAUUUAGCAUUUAACGGUCAAAUUUGGAAAUUCUAUUGCUUCAACGACAAUACAAAAAUAGGGUUCAAUUUCUUUCCUUUAUAUGUUUACAUUAUGGAUACCGUAGAGGUGUUAGGGAAUGGAGGAGUUGGUGAUGGGUGUGGCGUAAGUUCAUGUCGUGAUAAUGCUUAUGUGGGAAUAAUGAAUGGUGGCAAAGGAAGUGAGAUGUUGGGUGAUGAGAUUUUGGAGGACUUUGAUUUGUAUUGGGAAGAUAUAAAUGAGCGUUUAACGGUUUCGAGGAUGGUGAGUGACUCACUUAUUAAGGGAAUGGUAAGUGCUGUGGAGCAGGAGGCGGCUGAGAGAAUAAUGGCUAAGGAAAUAGAAUUGACCAAAGUAAAGGAUUGUUUGCAAUUUCAUGAUGUGGGUCUGAGUAAAACUGAAUCUUUGGGGUCACGCGUCUUGCAGGAUGAGCUAGAAAGUUUGAAUUUUCAGAAGCAUUUCAGUUUAUCAGAUGUUUUCCGGGAACAUGAGAAGAUGAGAGAGAUUUCAGGUGGACUAAGAAAUUCAGCAAUGGAUCAACUCAAGAAGCUGAAGAAGGGCAUUGAUAGGGUUAGAGGCUCCAAUUCUAUCAGGAGGAUCGGUUCUGGUUCAGAGUUGGUGGGUCUGGGUGGCAUUUUGCGAGAGCAAGAAUCUGAAAGUUGGGUUCAUGUGACCAAAACAGUGAAGCAUCUGAAAAUGACCAUGGAUACAAUUUUUACACGUAUGGAUGAAAUGGUACAGUUAUCCAAGGCAUCAGUUGAGCGGUGGCAGGAGGAGCAUCUGAUUGAGGUGGAGGUUGAGGCCAUGGUGAUGCGGAAUCUGAUCCAGAGUAUGCAGGAAGGUUUUGAGGACAAAUUGUGGGAUCAGUGUAGUCAAUCUUGUGAUGCUCAAAUUGAGAAAUUUAAUGAGAUCUCUAGUCUACGAAAUGACUUAGAGGUUAUUUUGAAGUCAAUGUCUAGUAUAGAAACAGGGCGUCUGACUUCACAUGGUUCUCAGGAUGUUGACUACUUUCACCGUAAGAUGUCAAGCGAGCAUUUGACUUCUUCAAAAUCUAUUUCGGAGGGAAAUGGGAAGGUGGAGGGCUCAAAAAGCGAUAUACCUGAGAAGUUUGAAGCUGCCACAUUGAAACACAUGUCGCAGGAGGAAAUGGUGGACUAUUUUAAUGAUAUGAUGACAAAGAUGAAGAGAGAACAUGAAUCCAUUCUGGAAAGGAAAACUGAUGACUACUUUGCUCUAAGAGCUGUAUAUCUAACUCUGAUAGGAAGCGGGUCUGUUGUGCCGCAAAAGAAAGAUCAGGGGGAAUUUGAUUUUCUUAGAAAGAAAAUCCCAGAAGUUAUAAUGAAAUUAGAAGAUAUAUUUGUAGAGACUGAAAAGUGUCCUGAAUUUACUCAAAGAGCUGCAAAUUUGAAUAACUUGAAGGAAAGAAUUGACACCCUUGUUUCUGAAAAUCGUCAGCUAAGAGACUUGCUUAGAGAUAAGAAAAAUGAAGUAAGGUUUCUGUUGUCCGAAGCCUCUGCUGCUGCUGAGAAGAGUCUGCAACACUCUUUGGCUGAAGAAAACAUGCAGAAGCAGAUAGGAGAUCUCAAUUUAGUGGUGGAAGAUUCACAGAUUUCAGCUUCAGUCAGGGAAGAAGUGUAUAAAUGUUUCCUAAGGGAUCUCAUUAGAAAGAAAGGCAGCGAAGCUGAUGAAUCAAACAUGGAGUUCCAUAUUAUGAAUGACAUUUAUGAUAUUAUUUUGGCAAAAGCUUACAUUAAUGCCGAAAGUACUUGCAAUUCUGAACUUGAAGAUUCAGAGUUGGAGUGUCUGAUAAUGCAAGGUCUUUAUGGAGUGAUUUUCAGUGAAGGAAUCAAGGAUUCUCAGGACAAGCUCAAGGAAUUGUACCAGGAUUAUUUGAAUGAAAAUGAAAAUCGGAUAUUUCUUGAGAUGAAAGCUAUUCAGAAGGAUUAUGAAUUAAAAUUGGAGGUUGAGGAGAAGGAAAAACUAAAGCAAAUGAUUUAUCUGCUGGAAAGGUCAGUGGAUGAAAAGGAAAAAUUAUCAAGUGAGGCGUCAACUGCUCUAGCAAAGGAGAAGGAAAAAUUCGAGUUGGUAACUGAAGUUGCUAUUCAGAAGGAAUAUGAAUUAAAAUUGGAGGUUGAGGAGAAGGAAAAACUAAAGCAAAAGAUUUAUCUGCUGGAAAGAUCAGUGGAUGAAAAGGAAAAAUUAGCAAGUGAUGCAUCAACUGCUCUAGCAAAGGAAAAGGAACAAUGUGAGUUGGUAACUGAAGUUGCUAUUCAGAAGGAAUAUGAAUUAAUAUUGGAGGUUGAAGAGAAGGAAAAACUAAAGCAAAUGAUUUAUUGGCUGGAAAGUUCAGCGGAUGAAAAGGAAAAAUUAGCAAGUGUCGCAUCAACUGCUCUAGCAAAGGAGAAGGAACAGUUUGAGUUGGUAACUGAAGAGCUCAAUGCUGUGAGAGAACAUGCAAGUAGGCAGCAAAGAUUAGUUUCUGAGAGCAAUAUGGAAUUAGAGGCGGUAAAGGUUCAAUUAGCAGAAGCAUUGGAGCAAAUUGAAGCAAUGAAGGAGGAGAUCCGCAGGUUAAAUCAAAAGCUUGUAGACAAGGUGGAGGAGUUAAAAGAAGCCGAUGACAAAGCAAAGAUGGACCUUGUUGUUUCUGAAGAGAGGCAGUACAUUUUGGCCUUAAAUGAAACCAAAGAAAUUGAGCUAAGAAAGCGUAUGGAAGCAGUAAUUUGUAGGGUACAUGAGUUGUCAAAAAUGCUUGAAGAUUUUGAAUGCAGGGUGAGUGGCAGUCUGGAGACAAAUCAGGCUAGGUUGGAUCAUUCAUCGUGUCAGUUGAAUUCUCUUGUUAAGAAGACCAAUUCACUUAGAAGAACAGUGCUAUUGUACCGGCAGAGGCUUGAAAAAAGAUGUUCAGACCUUCAAAUGGCUGAGGCUGAGGUUGAUCUUUUGGGAGAUGAGGUCGAUACACUUUUGCGCUUACUUGAAAAGAUAUACAUCGCACUUGAUCACUACUCACCAGUUUUGCAGCAUUAUCCUGGAAUUGUUGAAAUUCUUAAGCUGAUCAGAAAGGAAUUAUGGGGAGAUUCUGCUAAAUCAGUGAAGUGAUCUCCUACAUAAGAAGGUGCUGGUGAGUUCUAUGCUAUGUUUGGUGAAAGAGGAGGAUAUGAGGAGGGGAAGUAAAAGGAAGUAAAACAGGGAAGAUAAAAGCUCAACUGCUCAAGGUAGAAAGUUCAAAACUGGGAAAUUUUGUUUUUCUUGGUCCUAGCAGAUGAAUGUUGGCUACCAUUUGAAGUCCACUGUAAAGCCAGAAGAUCCAGUUAGUAACAAAGACAAGUUCUAUUUCCUUUAGGAACUUGAAAUAGGGGAGAGCUUUAAAAGCUUCCAUUAUACCUGCUUGUAUAUGGCUCCAUUUUUUUUUCUUGCUGUGCAAACUAGGUACAUCAGGUAGGAAAACCAAACACCCAGUAGCUGCUUCUGUGCAUUUUAGAUAUUUUAGAAUUUAGGGUCUUCAACACGUUUGCCAGCUUUUCUUGUUCACAGAAAGACAGAAUAUACAAAUCACUAGUGCAAUGAAAAGAAAAUCUAUGUUUAUUAUAUUGGUUGCUCUGAUAUAUAUAUUUAUGAGACAAACUAUA